Molecule: unclassified non-coding RNA, 612 nt
Filed under: Hevea brasiliensis (rubber tree)
Lineage: Eukaryota; Viridiplantae; Streptophyta; Magnoliopsida; Malpighiales; Euphorbiaceae
Source: RNAcentral
GCAUCAACAGUCAAAGGUAGAAUCUUUGACCCUGGUUUUGCAGAUUUACCUCUACCCAUAUCAAGAGGGUAUUGCGCAAUAUGAAUCUCAGGGAAUGCACCCCCAUCCCCAAAAUCCUCCACUCUGCGGGGAACAAAACCUUUACGCUCCAAGUAGGGAGGCACAAGUUUAGGAUUGACAACCGUGGUUUGCUCUGCCUCAGAUGAGCUGAAUCGUUGUCUAAACCAUGGGUCAUUUGAAUGAUCAUAAUAAGUUGUAGUGGUUGACUUAACUGGAGGAAGGAGGUCCCUUAGAGCCGCCAUUAUUAAUGGAUCCUCAGGCAACUGCAACACAAAUUGAAGGCCCUGUUUCAAGUCGCUUGCAAACUGCCUGCAAUUCUGCGAUCCAGAAAGAGAGGACGGAACAGCCGAGCAGCAGCUGCGCGUGCAGUAAGAUUAAGGGGCGGCGGCGAUAAUAAUAGAGUUAAAGGGUUGGAGGAAGUGCGAAGGCAGAGAUUCAGUCGAAGGCACGAGGCCGAGAGACCGAGGAAGAGAGUGAAUACAGCAAUGGCCGAUGAGAUACAGAAAGAGGCAAUAGGUGCGGGCUUGAUGUUGCAAUAGACGGAUGCGAAUG